This 440-nucleotide long non-coding RNA is filed under the name Mus musculus (house mouse). Its description in RNAcentral is "predicted gene 28816". The record is from RNAcentral. Lineage: Eukaryota; Metazoa; Chordata; Mammalia; Rodentia; Muridae.
GGCCUUGCUCUUAUGUCAUCUGACUAAAGGUUUCAUAGACCAAAAAUAACCAUCCAACCUGUUGGAAUACUGAAACAAUUGCUGCCUGCUUUCCACACGCUACAUAAAAUAUGUGGAUAUCCUAAAUUCUACAAAAAAGAUUUGUAAGGGUAAAUCAGUUUACUAUCUUUGUUUUGUUACCUUAGACAGAGACAUCCUGGCCUCCAUGCAGAGGAAUGUGUGGAUGGACAUAUAUUUAAGGAAGACACUAAACCAGAAAAUACUACAUUACACCCUCUUAAAAGACUUCUAAGAUUGUUGUCAUGCCUACCACUGACAUUCAGAUGAUGUGUAUUCUUGAUUGUGAUUUCAUGUUUGGAGCUGAUGAAGGAGUUUGAAGUCUCCAGAGCAGCAAGGAGAGUGGGGAGUAGAACUCAUCAUCUUUAGGUCACUCAUCCCCG